UACGUAGGGUGCGAGCGUUGUCCGGAAUUAUUGGGCGUAAAGAGCUUGUAGGCGGUUUGUCGCGUCUGCUGUGAAAUCUCAAGGCUCAACCUUGAGCUUGCAGUGGGUACGGGCAGACUAGAGUGUGGUAGGGGAGACUGGAAUUCCGUGGUGUAGCGGUGAAAUGCGUAGAGAUCCGGAGGAACACCAAAGGCGAAGGCAGUGUCCUGGGGAGUACCUGACGGCUCAGGGUGCGAAAGCCAGGGGAGCGGAACGGG
This 257-nucleotide ribosomal RNA is filed under the name uncultured bacterium. Its description in RNAcentral is "partial 16S ribosomal RNA". It matches the Rfam family "Bacterial small subunit ribosomal RNA", at positions 524 to 776 of the family's 1533-position model. The record is from RNAcentral.